This is a long non-coding RNA of Nematolebias whitei (Rio pearlfish), 232 nucleotides long. RefSeq lists it as uncharacterized. NCBI's taxonomy places the organism in Eukaryota, Metazoa, Chordata, Actinopteri, Cyprinodontiformes, Rivulidae. The transcript is spliced from 3 exons. The record is from RefSeq and is a predicted model, not a curated record.
ACCUUGUCGUGGAGCGAGGCUCGGAUCAGCUGCCAGCAGCAAGAGGCCGACCUGCUAAGCAUCUCCAAGCUGCACGAGCAGACGUACAUCAGCGGUAUCCUGAAUGCUUACAGCUCUGCGUUGUGGAUUGGCCUCAAUGACCUGGACCUCAGUGGAGGCUGGCAGUGGUCCGACUCGUCACCACUCAAGUAUCUAAACUGGGAGCCAGAUGAGCCGAAUGUUGAGGAGGAGG